CGGGCGGGAACGCGGCGCGCCCGGGUCGCUGCCGGCGCGGGCCGGCGCCCGGGGGGGAGGCGGGAACUUACAGCCGCCGGUCCUCGGGCUGCAGCUGCCGGUGCAUGGCGAGCGAGAAGCCGAAGAGGCUCCCGGGCUCCCCGGCUUUCCGGAUCACAUGGUCCUCGCGGGUGUCCAGGUUGAAGGCGGCGCCGAGCCGGGGCAGGAGCCCCGCCGACAGAUGAGAAAACUUGGGGAGUUGAAGUAAAUUACCCAGGAUCACAAAUCUAAAUGAAUGAAAGAAGAGAAAGCAAAACUACAUCUCCUGCAAAAGAUGUCCAUAUCCUUCUGCUUUCACUUUUCUGGAUUCCAGCUGCUGUCUGAGAUGCUGUUCUGUGAUUAUUUGGAUCUCAAAGAGCAAACAACACUUACUUCAUAACAGAUGUGUGCCUGAAGUCCACCCACUGGAUGUAAUUUGGAGAUUUUUUUUGUAAUGCAGGCAUGGAGAAGAGACCAAUAUCGGGAUGACUGGUGCUGGUCAGUUCAAUCAGAUUGGUUUUCAGCUGCCAAAGGGGAAUGAAAGUCUUGCCUGAGCAAAAAAGAAGGAAGUAAAUCGAACUGCUUGAAGCCCAUGGGGAAAUUAAGCAAGUCUGGGGUGGAUCUCAAUAAAGUCGCCUAAGGGCACUGCUACCCAGGAGGGGCUCCAGGAAGUGAAAGACAUGAAUAAAGGAAGAUCUGGGGCAAAUGU
Long non-coding RNA from Canis lupus familiaris (dog), 727 nucleotides. RefSeq lists it as uncharacterized. The transcript has 4 exons. Lineage: Eukaryota; Metazoa; Chordata; Mammalia; Carnivora; Canidae. The record is from RefSeq and is a predicted model, not a curated record.